Long non-coding RNA from Scomber scombrus (Atlantic mackerel), 345 nucleotides. RefSeq lists it as uncharacterized. The record is from RefSeq and is a predicted model, not a curated record. The transcript is spliced from 3 exons. NCBI's taxonomy places the organism in Eukaryota, Metazoa, Chordata, Actinopteri, Scombriformes, Scombridae.
GAAAAACUGUAUCCUGUGCGUAUUCUGUCAUUGUACCACCGUCUCCUCCUCUCCACAGUGACAAAAGUCAUCUCCGGUUGAUACCUGCCCUUCAAAGGUAUUAUUUAUAGACGCAGUUAGCGUCGGAAAAAAUACCUUCAGGUUUGGUAAAUCACAAUGUGUGUGCUAAAUAACAUAUUUGCAUUUUCUCCUCCCUGUAUUUUGCACACUGGGGUUGAAACGCCCCAUAUUACAUAUUCAUUAUGGCAAACGUACUAAAUGGACACUCACGCAAACCUCAGUGCGCUGCGUUAGUAGAUCAGCUUGCACAUUUUAUGUCAAGUUUGCACACGUUUUUACACACGC